This 1471-nucleotide ribosomal RNA is filed under the name uncultured Bellilinea sp. RNAcentral's name for it is "bacterial SSU rRNA". It matches the Rfam family "Bacterial small subunit ribosomal RNA". The record is from RNAcentral. Lineage: Bacteria; Bacillati; Chloroflexota; Anaerolineae; Anaerolineales; Anaerolineaceae.
AGAGUUUGAUCAUGGCUCAGGAUGAACGUUGGCGGUGUGCCUAAUACAUGCAAGUCGAACGGUGAUAUUUUUGUAGUAAUACGAAUUUAUCAUAGUGGCGAACGGGUGAGUAACGCGUUGGUGAUCUGCCUCGAAGUGUGGAAUAACGUCCCGAAAGGAACGCUAAUACCGCAUGUGCCCUCGAUUUUUAGAAAGUUGAGAGUAAAGGAUUUAUUCGCUUCGAGAGGAGCCUGCGUCCCAUCAGCUAGUUGGUAAGGUAAUGGCCUACCAAGGCAAUGACGGGUAGGGGACCUGAGAGGGUGGCCCCCCACAAUGGAACUGAAACACGGUCCAUACACCUACGGGUGGCAGCAGUAGGGAAUAUUAGAAAUGGACGAAAGUCUGAUCUAGCGACACCGCGUGUGCGAUGAAGGCCUUCGGGUUGUAAAGCACUUUUUGGAAGGAAUAGGAAGGAAGGUACUUCCAGAAUAAGUCUCGGCUAACUACGUGCCAGCAGCCGCGGUAACACGUAGGAGGCAAACGUUAUCCGGAUUUACUGGGCGUAAAGCGCGUGUAGGUGGUUCUGUAAGUAGGGCGUGAAAGCUCCUGGCUCAACUGGGAGAGGCCGUUCUAAACUACAGAACUAGAGGAUGGUAGAGGGAGGUGGAAUUCCAGGUGUAGCGGUGGAAUGCGCAGAUAUCUGGAGGAACACCAGUGGCGAAGGCGGCCUCCUGGACCAUUCCUGACACUCAGUACGCGAAAGCUAGGGUAGCAAACGGGAUUAGAGACCCCGGUAGUCCUAGCCCUAAACGAUGUAGACUAGACGUCGGUGGUGUAAUAGCUGUCGGUGUCCAAGCUAACGCGAUAAGUCUACCGCCUGGGGACUACGGCCGCACGGUUAAAACUCAAAGGAAUUGACGGGUCCCCGCACAAGCAGCGGAGCGUGUGGUUUAAUUCGUUGCUACACGAAGAACCUUACCUGGGUUUGACAUAGCAGUGGUAGGGAAGAGAAAUCGGACCGACCCUUCGGGGAGCUGUUACAGGUGUUGCAUGGCUGUCGUCAGCUCGUGUCGUGAGAUGUUCGGUUAAGUCCGCUAACGAGCGCAACCCGCGUUGUGUGUUAUAUGUGUCACACAAUACCGCCGGUAUUAAGUCGGAGGAAGGUGCGGAUGACGUCAAGUCAGCAUGACCUUUAUAUCCAGGGCUACACACACGCUACAAUGGACAGUACAACAGGUUGCCAAGCCGCGAGGCGGAGCCAAUCCUCUAAAGCUGUCCUCAGUUCAGAUUGCAGGCUGAAACUCGCCUGCAUGAAGUUGGAGUUGCUAGUAACCGCAGGUCAGCUAUACUGCGGUGAAUACGUUCCCGGGGAUUGUACACACCGCCCGUCAAGUCAUGGAAGCUGGCAACACCUGAAGCCGGUAUCCUAACCCGUAAGGGAGGGAGCUGUCAAAGGUGGGGUUGGUGACUGGGACUAAGUCGUAACAAGGUA